UGGGGAAUAUUGCACAAUGGGCGCAAGCCUGAUGCAGCCAUGCCGCGUGUGUGAAGAAGGCCUUCGGGUUGUAAAGCACUUUUGUCCGGAAAGAAAUCCUUGGCUCUAAUACAGUCGGGGGAUGACGGUACCGGAAGAAUAAGCACCGGCUAACUACGCGCCAGCAGCCGCGGUAAUACGUAGGGUGCAAGCGUUAAUCGGAAUUACUGGGCGUAAAGCGUGCGCAGGCGGUUUGCUAAGACCGAUGUGAAAUCCCCGGGCUCAACCUGGGAACUGCAUUGGUGACUGGCAGGCUAGAGUAUGGCAGAGGGGGGUAGAAUUCCACGUGUAGCAGUGAAAUGCGUAGAGAUGUGGAGGAAUACCGAUGGCGAAGGCAGCCCCCUGGGCCAAUACUGACGCUCAUGCACGAAAGCGUGGGGAGCAAACAGGAUUAGAUACCCUGGUAGUCCACGCCCUAAACGAUGUCAACUAGUUGUUGGGGAUUCAUUUUCCUUAGUAACGUAGCUAACGCGUG
This 514-nucleotide ribosomal RNA is filed under the name uncultured bacterium. Its description in RNAcentral is "partial 16S ribosomal RNA". It matches the Rfam family "Bacterial small subunit ribosomal RNA", at positions 355 to 861 of the family's 1533-position model. The record is from RNAcentral.